Heterocephalus glaber (naked mole-rat) is the source of this 3099-nucleotide non-coding RNA. The record is from RefSeq and is a predicted model, not a curated record. Lineage: Eukaryota; Metazoa; Chordata; Mammalia; Rodentia; Bathyergidae.
CUGCUGCGCAGCGACGCUGCGGGCUGGGAGGGUGUUGGACGGACGAAAGGCAGACCAACAGACAAUCCGCCCUGUCCAGGAGGCUGGGCCGAGGGCGCGGGGGGCCGGGCAGGGGACAGCGCCUCCUGCAGGAGGCGCAGGAGCCCGGUGACUUCCGCCUCCCACCCUGUCUGACUGAACCGGAAGUCAUCGCUCGCCCGGCGGCCCGCCCAGGGCCUCCUCAGUGUCCCUGAAACCCAGGCUGUGCUCCGGGUCUCUGUCCUCCCGGCUCCUGCAAGCCUUCGUGCCCCCGGGGUCACUCUGGCCCGGUGCCCAAGUGACCUCCUCUCCUAGAAGCUGUGCCCGUUUCCCCGCACAAAAGAGCACCCCGACUUUUCAGCUCUGCUCUUCUGCUUUUUUCCCCACGGUCAGAGGCGUCACCCCCACCAUGGGGUGCGCCCCGAAGGUGGGCUUCUGUGUGCUCACUGCCACCCCCUCGACCUUGGGGACUUCUGGUGACUGGGCAUACAGCAGGCGCACAGCGGAUGCGUGCUGACAAACCCCAGGCCGUGCGACAGCGAGGAGAGCCCAGGGUCCCAGGGUCCGGGGCAGUGGGCAUGGUGGGCACGCAGGGACAGCAGGGGUGGCGGGGAAAGCAGGACCCAGCCACUGAACCUCGGCCCACCCGCCUCGCCCUCGUGUCAGUCCCUUGCACGGGGCAGAGCGGUUGUUGGGGGGGGGGGGCUUCUGAGCCCGGAGCCCGAGGGAGAGCUGGGGGUAGACCGUCCCCCAGCUGCGGCCUCAGCCUUCCGCGCCUGCGCUUCUGUUUCGGAAGCCUCUCCCACGGUACGCCUGGAAGCGACCCGAGGGCUGCGGAUGGCGGGCACCUGCCUUCCCGGGGCUGGCUGUCUCCGCAGGCCGCUGGGAGCACUUCACAGGCUCGGAGUGGAACACGGGGCCAGACCGAGGCGGGAGUGCCUCUCAGACUCACGGAGGUGGCUGAGUCUGCUUCUGCGGAGAUCGCAGCUAUGCCUUCUCCGUCCCUCCCCGCUGCACCCUCUGCACACGCAGGCAGCCUAGCUCCUGCGUUUCUGGAGAAGCAACCGGGUGAGAUGGGUGGGGAGACACCGGAAGAGGCCCACAGGCUCUGGACCCACCGGAUCGAAGAUGUCAGGAGCCUCGAAGCCCCUGCCCAGGUCUCUCGGAGCCCUCGCUGUGGGAGGCCAGUCCUGUGCAGAAAGUUGGUCCAGCGCAAGGUCGCAUGCCAGCAGGCUGAGUGGGGCACAAGGACAGGAACAGAGGUCCAACCACCCCAGCUCAGGCCCCGAUGCCGGAGAGAAGGCGCCAUCCGGCAGAGGGCGCAUGGAGGAGACCUGCGGUUGGCAUCUGCAGCCAGCUGAGACACCCCAGUGGAGGGAGCCCCACGUACUGAGAAGAGCAGAGGUGCGUGACCAGCCUGAUUCCUGCUGGGCAGGAUCUUGAUGCUGAUGCUAUGGAAGGCUGGCUGACCCUCGUCUGGCCAGCACCAAGGGGAGAAGCCAGACUCGGAGCUGCCAUGAGCAGCGUCCUCCUGCAUGGGGACACUGAGAUGCCUAGCUAAUGCCCGGAGCUCAUCCUUCUGAAGUGAAUUAAUGAGUUGUCGUGCCGCUGGACUCACCACAUGUUUACACAAACUAAACCUCCAGCUGUUAUCUGCGCCUCCCUGUUCUGGGUGUCCCAGCCCUGCUGGGUGCUGGCAUGACUCCAGAUAUCAUAGAUAUGGUUGUGCUGGGAGUAUCUUUCUAAGUCCCUCUUUCUCCAACUGGACUAUGAGCUUGUGGAGAUCAGCGACCUGUGCCUGACUCAUGAUAGACAUGCAAUAAAUCUAGGAAUGCAGUCACAUGGAAUUUCGCUUUUCCCUUCAGAAGAGGAAAACUGCAGGAGCAAAUUUAAAUGUUGUAAACCAAAGCCUGGGAUGUGAAUCUUCACCCAGGGUCUGAUGACAAGACUACGUCACUGUAGCUGCUUUUCCUAUUGUCCCGACCCUCAGCAGCUAAUAGUUACUGCACACCACAUUUUGGAAACGGAGCAUGCGCCACCUCAUGUAAUCCUUAGAGCGACCAUAGGAGUAUCACAGUCAAACAGAUUGAGGCUACUUUCAGUUAGAGAAAAUGAGAAAGAACAAACAAGACAACCUUCCUCUACAAACAACGUUAAUUUAGUUGUCAGAGGUCAAUAACAUCAACACCAGCACCGGAAGUUCUUUUGCACCUUCAAUUUUGCACUGUGUGAGACAACCUUUCCACCAUAAGCCCUAAAUAAGCCCUUUUCUCUGGGAACCUCAAUCCUCUAUUAUAAUAAUCUUAGAAUUUCAGAGAAGGCUUAGGAAUUUAAACUUCAUUAAACUGAUAAGAAAACCAAGAAACAAACUUGCACCAGACCCACAGUCACACGCCGGUGUUGGACCCACUUAUUUGAGAUCGGAGCAGAGGACACAGAAGCUGAAUUCAUUCGUAACCUUCCCAACCUGGUCUCCUAACCUGCCCUCUCCUCCCACCCUCCGGCUCCUAGUCCUGUAAGACAGGACCAGUGGGUGAGUCUCGUGCUCCUCGCCCUGCUGCGGCGCCCUCCCGGUGGUGGAGUACGGUGCUGUGCUGUCUAUCGCCCGUGUUUUCCUGCGUUUGUCAUUUCUGCCUCCCCACACUCAGCCCAGAAGGCACGGGGAAGAGGGGGCUCCGUGUCCCACCAGCAACUCAACUCCACACUCCCUCCACUUUUCCGAGCCAGACUCAGCCACACCACGUGACCCACACUAGCAAGGACACAAUCGGGGAGGGGCAAGUAAGAGAAAUGAGCAGGGUUAAAAAUAUCAGCGGCUGCAAACAUGUUCUUUAUAGAAAAGUGAGAAUUAGCAAGGGUCUAGCAGCAAAGGCAUGGCUUUUAAUGCUAUGAAGAAAAGAGCAAAAGAAAAUCUUCCAGCAUUUGAAACUAUUGAGUGAGGCCCCUCACAGAAUCUUAAAGCACAUCUAGUACUCCCAUAGCGAAUGCACCAGCAUCUUUCUGAUCUACGGAUGUCAACUUUAGACAGAGGAAUCUGGAAUAACUGAGUGAAUAAAACAGGGAAGACAAGUUUGCAAAUCA